AAGAGUUGCAAAACUCCCACAUACCAUUGUGAACGUACCCCGUAUCGUUGCUUCGGCGGUUGGCCUCUGGGCCUCUGCUCCGCUUGCGGGGCGCCCGCCGGAGGACACCUUAACUAUUGUUUAUUACCGGUCUCUCUGAGUAACUUACAAAUAAGUCA
This 158-nucleotide unclassified non-coding RNA is filed under the name uncultured Sordariomycetes. RNAcentral's name for it is "sequence contains ITS1". The record is from RNAcentral. Lineage: Eukaryota; Fungi; Ascomycota; Sordariomycetes.